This 513-nucleotide ribosomal RNA is filed under the name Triticum aestivum (bread wheat). Its description in RNAcentral is "partial small subunit ribosomal RNA". Lineage: Eukaryota; Viridiplantae; Streptophyta; Magnoliopsida; Poales; Poaceae. The record is from RNAcentral.
AUGGAGAACGGCAACGCCUUCCCUUCCGGCGUCGGCAGGGACACUUUGCCCCAGGAUUCCCCUGCCGGGAUGAGGGUCCUCGUGGUGGAGGACGACCCGAACGACCUCGUGCACUUGACGCAAAUCCUUGAGAGGUGCGGCUACAAAGUGACGGCGAAAGCGUCACCAAGGGAAGCGCUGAAAGAGGUGGAGGAGAAUGGAGAGGGCUUCCACUUCGACAUCAUCAUGACCGUCGUGCACGGUGGCGAAGAAGGAGAUAGAUUCGAUGGCUUCGACCUCCUCGAGCGCGUUCGGGAUCGUUACCCAGUCAUCAUUUUCUCCGCCGACUAUUCCAAGAAGAUGGUGAUGAGGACAAUCAAUGAAGGCGCCUGCGACUUCAUGCCAAAGCCGAUGUGCUACCAGGAGGUGCGCAAUAUUUGGUUCCAUGUCAUGCAGAGGGGAUCAGAAGUCGACGACCCUGACGAGGGGGAAGAAGGACCUAGCAACAAUGAGAAUCACCCUGAGAUCAAAUAG